GACGAACGCUGGCGGCGUGCUUAACACAUGCAAGUCGAACGGAAAGGCUCUGCUUGCAGGGUACUCGAGUGGCGAACGGGGGAGUAACACGUGGGUGAUCUGCCCUGCACUUCGGGAUAAGCCUGGGAAACUGGGUCUAAUACCGGAUAGGAGCCAUUUUUAGUGUGAUGGUUGGAAAGUUUUUUCGGUGUAGGAUGAGCUCGCGGCCUAUCAGCUUGUUGGUGGGGUAAUGGCCUACCAAGGCGGCGACGGGUAGCCGGCCUGAGAGGGUGGACGGCCACAUUGGGACUGAGAGACGGCCCAGACUCCUACGGGAGGCAGCAGUGGGGAAUAUUGCACAAUGGGCGCAAGCCUGAUGCAGCGACGCCGCGUGGGGGAUGACGGCCUUCGGGUUGUAAACUCCUUUCGCUAGGGACGAAGCUUUUUGUGACGGUACCUAGAUAAGAAGCACCGGCUAACUACGUG
This 465-nucleotide ribosomal RNA is filed under the name uncultured bacterium. RNAcentral's name for it is "partial 16S ribosomal RNA". It matches the Rfam family "Bacterial small subunit ribosomal RNA", at positions 28 to 507 of the family's 1533-position model. The record is from RNAcentral.